GAGAGGACCGGGGUGGACGGACCGAUGGUGUACCAGUUGUUCUGCCAAGGGCACAGCUGGGUAGCCAAGUCCGGGAGGGAUAAGCACUGAAGGCAUCUAAGUGCGAAGCCUGCCCCAAGAUAAGGUAUCCCACCCUGAAGAGGGGGUAAGACACCUGGGAGACGACCAGGUAGAUAGGCCGGGGGUGUAAGGGUUGUGAGGCCUUGAGCCGACCGGUACUAAUGAGUCGAGGGCUUGACCAA
This 242-nucleotide ribosomal RNA is filed under the name Caldanaerovirga acetigignens. RNAcentral's name for it is "23S rRNA. Bacterial LSU". It matches the Rfam family "Bacterial large subunit ribosomal RNA", at positions 2685 to 2925 of the family's 2925-position model. The record is from RNAcentral. Lineage: Bacteria; Bacillati; Bacillota; Clostridia; Thermosediminibacterales; Thermosediminibacteraceae.